RNAcentral lists this transfer RNA (73 nucleotides) under Stegodyphus mimosarum. It matches the Rfam family "tRNA". Rfam says of the family: Transfer RNA (tRNA) molecules are approximately 80 nucleotides in length. The record is from Rfam by way of RNAcentral. Lineage: Eukaryota; Metazoa; Arthropoda; Arachnida; Araneae; Eresidae.
GCCUUGGUGGUGUACUGGUCAGCAUGCUAGGCGUGUAUUCCAGUGGUCCUUGGUUCGACUCCUGGCGAAGGCG